UACGUAGGGUGCAAGCGUUGUCCGGAAUUAUUGGGCGUAAAGAGCUUGUAGGCGGUUUGUCGCGUCUGCUGUGAAAUUUCGGGGCUCAACCCCGAACUUGCAGUGGGUACGGGCAGACUAGAGUGUGGUAGGGGAGACUGGAAUUCCUGGUGUAGCGGUGAAAUGCGUAGAUAUCUGGAGGAACACCGGUGGCGAAGGCGGCAUCCUGGACCGAGAUUGACACUGAUGAGCGAAAGCUAGGGGAGCAAACGGG
This 253-nucleotide ribosomal RNA is filed under the name uncultured bacterium. Its description in RNAcentral is "partial 16S ribosomal RNA". It matches the Rfam family "Bacterial small subunit ribosomal RNA", at positions 524 to 776 of the family's 1533-position model. The record is from RNAcentral.